Molecule: non-coding RNA, 2027 nt
Organism: Callorhinus ursinus (northern fur seal)
Lineage: Eukaryota; Metazoa; Chordata; Mammalia; Carnivora; Otariidae
Source: RefSeq, a predicted model, not a curated record
AUCAUGACCUGAGCCAAAGGCAGACGCCCAACUGACUGAGGCACCCAGGCGCCCCUGUUGCAGCCUUUAAUACAUUUGAAUGAUCAUCCAGUAGGGCCUGUUGCCCCCUAUGCCAGACCAGGGGCCACUGCUGAGAUACCCAACACUAUGACGAUAUGGAAGUCACAGGAGAUGGCCAUUGCCCUGUCACUGUGGAUCAACGUGCUGUGCUGCUGAGAACACACCUGGGGAAGACAUUAUCUGCUGGAAUUUGCAAUGGGGCAUUUCACCAGGAUGGGUGAGUUACAUCACACCCCUGGUGAGGGGGAGCUACUCAGUCUCCACUGGGAUGCCAUUGUCCCGCUGCAAGCUGGACCCGUUGAAAUGCCCUAUGCCUGGAAUGGAACAUGCACCAUUGAAAGAAGGGAGGAGGAAGUCCUGUCCCUGGUCAUUCUCACGUCUGACAGUACUGCCUCCACCAGCCAAAUAUAUGGCAUGCACAACCUGGUCAAGUUCCUAAGGCUUCCAGUCUCCCUUUCCUUGAGGCCAGGUGGGCACAUUUUCUUUUCCACCGGUAUGAUCAUCUGGCCGCCACCUCCAUUGGCCUGGAGGGUGUUACCGCACCCACAGAAACCUUACUGAUUCACCCAACAAAAUGAUAGCCAGCAGACCCUUCCUUGUAUUGAACACUGAAAUGUCUCUGAUGAGCAGAACUGUCCUCCAAAACAGGAUGGCCUUGGACAUUAUUACUGCCUUGCAAACAGAACGUUGUGUGUUCAUACCUGAUGAGUCUGCUAAUGUAUCAUCCUUAUUAAAUCACAUGAGGCCCCAAGUGAACGUCUUGAGUGAUCCAAUCCCCAGCACAUAGGAAUUAAUAAACCAGUGGUUUGGGUCAUGGGGUUCUUGGGGGAAGAAAACUGUUGCUUACUUUGGGAAUUAUCAUCUGAAUCUGUUGCUGUGGGGGUCUGCCUCCAGAGGAGCCGCUUCCAUGCUAUCGAAACCUCUUGCUGGCUGAUCAGGGCCCAUUGCAGAAGAGGGACAUGUGUAAGAUUGUAAGAACCAAUCACAAGGGCUGGGGUGUUGGAGGAGGUCAGCGAGAGGACGUGACUUCCAGUUCAUCCGUGAGCUGGACCCAGGCAAUGAGAGGCUCCUCGCGCCCUCUCCUGUCCUUGGAAUGUAUACUCUGUCCACAAUUCUCACGGUGGGAGCCAUGUUCAAGGGUGCAGACUUCAGAGAGUAAUGUGUUGUUGAGACCAUCUGGCUGGGGUAUGUGACUGAACCUACUUAAGGCCUCUGUAUACUUUUAAGAUGCCGGCUAGCAGGUGUGAGGAUCUGCUCAUCUUGUAGCUACCCAAGACAAGCCUCAUAAGUAAGUUCCCUUGCCUAUUAAGCUUGCCACAUACCAAUUUGGAACAGUCUGCCUCUUUCUUUGAUCUCUCCUUGCCUUCCAUGUACGAGGGGCCGGCUGGCAAACCAAAAUCAUCCCUGGGUGACAAAGACGUAUAGGAGCUCCUUGCCUGUAGAGUGCUGAAAAUGUUCAGGAAGGAUUCCUUAUCCCUUUUGGACCCUGGAAAUAGUCUCUCGCCUCCCAAGGGAAAUGGCCAGACUUUGCCAAGAUAUAAUUUGGGCAGCUUUGUUACGUAGUCCAUGAAGCUACCCCUUUCCCGGUCUUCAGAGACCCCCCCAAGCCCAAGCAGGUGCCUUAAAUCCUGAAUCAUGUCCUCUUACAGUUGAUCAAGUUACCAAACCAGACCUGAUCUUCACGUUUGAGAGUCUUGGAUGGCGGAAAAAUCUACAGUCCUCCGCUCUACCGACUGAGCUAUCGAAGGAACCACUGGAUGGCGGAAAAAUCUAACAUGGCAUAGGAGGUUUGCUGUAGGAACAUACCAGGAUUUCAGGAUCCAGACCCGUCAUCUGGACAGCUUCCAACCUUUGGUUUUCACAAACAGUGCGCCAAUUUGACUUCUCCAGAGUCCGUAAACCGGGGCAGCUGUCGGGUUCUUCACAAGGAACACUCCCUUCUCUUGCCCCAGCCCAUCGAGUGCUCC